AUACGGAGGGUGCAAGCGUUACUCGGAAUCACUGGGCGUAAAGCGCGCGCAGGCGGCUAUUUAAGUUGGAUGUGAAAGCCUACGGCUCAACCGUAGAACUGCAUCCAAAACUAUUUAGCUAGAGUGUGGGAGAGGAAGAUGGAAUUAGUUGUGUAGGGGUAAAAUCCGUAGAGAUAACUAGGAAUACCAAAAGCGAAGGCAAUCUUCUGGAACACUACUGACGCUGAGGUGCGAAAGCGUGGGGAGCAAACAGGAUUAGAAACCCUAGUAGUCC
This 274-nucleotide ribosomal RNA is filed under the name uncultured bacterium. Its description in RNAcentral is "partial 16S ribosomal RNA". It matches the Rfam family "Bacterial small subunit ribosomal RNA", at positions 523 to 796 of the family's 1533-position model. The record is from RNAcentral.